GCUCAUUAAAUCAGUUAUCGUUUAUUUGAUAGUACCUUACUACUUGGAUAACCGUGGUAAUUCUAGAGCUAAUACAUGCUGAAAACCCCGACUUCGGAAGGGGUGUAUUUAUUAGAUAAAAAACCAAUGCCCUUCGGGGCUUCUUGGUGAUUCAUAAUAACUUCUCAGAUCGCAUGGCCUUGCGCCGGCGACGGUUCAUUCAAAUUUCUGCCCUAUCAACUUUCGAUGGUAAGGUAUUGGCUUACCAUGGUUUCAACGGGUAACGGGGAAUUAGGGUUCGAUUCCGGAGAGGGAGCCUGAGAAACGGCUACCACAUCCAAGGAAGGCAGCAGGCGCGCAAAUUACCCAAUCCCGACACGGGGAGGUAGUGACAAUAAAUACUGAUACAGGGCUCUUUUGGGUCUUGUAAUUGGAAUGAGUACAAUUUAAACCUCUUAACGAGGAACAAUUGGAGGGCAAGUCUGGUGCCAGCAGCCGCGGUAAUUCCAGCUCCAAUAGCGUAUAUUAAAGUUGUUGCAGUUAAAAAGCUCGUAGUUGAACCUUGGGCCUGGCUGGCAGGUCCGCCUCACCGCGUGUACUUGACCGGCCGGGCCUUUCCUUCUGGAGAACCUCAUGCCCUUCACUGGGUGUGUUGGGGAACCAGGACUUUUACUUUGAAAAAAUUAGAGUGUUCAAAGCAGGCCUUUGCUCGAAUACGUUAGCAUGGAAUAAUAGAAUAGGACGUGCGGUCCUAUUUUGUUGGUUUCUAGGACCGCCGUAAUGAUUAAUAGGGACAGUCGGGGGCAUUAGUAUUCAAUUGUCAGAGGUGAAAUUCUUGGAUUUAUUGAAGACUAACUACUGCGAAAGCAUUUGCCAAGGAUGUUUUCAUUAAUCAGUGAACGAAAGUUAGGGGAUCGAAGACGAUCAGAUACCGUCGUAGUCUUAACCGUAAACUAUGCCGACUAGGGAUCGGGCGAUGUUUCUAUCUUGACUCGCUCGGC
This 980-nucleotide ribosomal RNA is filed under the name Medicopsis chiangmaiensis. RNAcentral describes it as "SSU rRNA". It matches the Rfam family "Eukaryotic small subunit ribosomal RNA", at positions 96 to 1084 of the family's 1831-position model. Lineage: Eukaryota; Fungi; Ascomycota; Dothideomycetes; Pleosporales; Neohendersoniaceae. The record is from RNAcentral.